Molecule: non-coding RNA, 90 nt
Organism: Pelobates cultripes (western spadefoot toad)
Lineage: Eukaryota; Metazoa; Chordata; Amphibia; Anura; Pelobatidae
Source: the annotation of a GenBank genome assembly
UAUGAUAUACAGUGUAUCGCUCAGUGCUGACAGCACUGAGCGAUACACUGUAUAUUAUAGGUCAGCACUGGGUGAUACACUGUAUAUCAU